Molecule: long non-coding RNA, 135 nt
Organism: Nanorana parkeri
Lineage: Eukaryota; Metazoa; Chordata; Amphibia; Anura; Dicroglossidae
Exons: 3
Source: RefSeq, a predicted model, not a curated record
AACCUUGCCAUCCACGGAGGACUGUCCCAGUUUAUUUAGUUUGGAAAACAAUGGAAAGUAGAUGACGGAGAAUGGAACAUCCCUUAAUAUUGUUGCACCCAGUCCUCUGUAAAGUCCUUUAACACCUUCAUUACG